GCCAGAUGGUGAUGACGACCAGAGGGAGGGUUGGAGGUCCAAGACUGGGGCGUUGGCUAGGAAGGGGUGGGAGGGCCUCUCUGGAGUCACAGAAGCCUCAUGCAUCUUGACCAGGACGGUGGAUGCAUGGCUUACAUUGGUCACAACUUGUCAACUUGUAUGACUGAAAACUGAACAUCACAUUGAAUUGGACUCAAAGGCAAGACCUGAGGCAAAAUUCAUGUAAGGAGGGAGUUUGGGCGAAGCUUGAGGACUGCUGCCCGGAAGCGUAGAUUCAAGUUGCCCUGAAUACACCUCCUAUUAGCAGCUGUUACAGAAGUUUGGCUGCUGUAACUGACUGGGAAGCUUAAAAUAACAGACAAUCAUCUCUCACAUUUAUGGGGACUGGGAAGUCCAAGACCAAGUUGCCAUCUGGGGAGGGCCUGUUCCUCACAGCGCCUUCCAGCUCAGGCCUCGUUUAUAAGGGCACUCAAGCCUUCCACGACAACGGGUCCUCAUGACUUACUCACCUCGGAAAGCCCCACCCCCAAGACCAUCACAUUGUGGGUGAUGGCAGAGCAUAAGGUGCCUUCCCCACAUGCUCGGGUUGGCCCAGCGUCUCACGCUAGCAGCUACGUGGAAUAGUUAUUUUUUCUGGAGAACUCUGGGACCCCUCUGAUGUCUUGGAGCACCCACACAGGCCGUUCACUGUGCACGCUGUGAGGCUGUCGUCUUGGAGCACCCACACAGGCCGUUCACUGUGCACGUGGUGAGGCUGUCCUCUGGGGAGUUCUGCUGUUGUAUGGGUUCUGUCUGUGUCAAUGUCCCAGCGGGAACGCAGGGCACACUAGCGUCAUCCCCAGAGGGCUUGGUAAGGGGACUGUUUGCAGAGACAUAGGCAGAGGGCUGGAAAACUACCAAAAAAGUGCAGUGUUCUGGACCUAAUAAUAGCAGAGCUAUUCUCACCCUGGUCUGAAGGCAGGAGGGGAGGAGCAGUUAAUGGAUUCUGGAAGUCAGGUUGCACAGAGUCACCUUGAAAGAUGCCAUGACCUUCACCGAGGGCCAGACAGAGACUAAGAUGACCCCAUAGGAGAAUAAGACCUAGACCUCAUCCUCCUGCCUCCUGCCAGUCCCUGCCAGGGGUCGCCAAUGGCAAAACAGGACUGGAAGCCAGAGGCCAUGGAAGCCCAUGGAUGAAGUCCACAGGCCAGCCUCCCCGAGAGCAGCCUGGACGGUCCGCAGGAGACGUCUCCUGUCUUAGGCGUCCCACGCCGCGUGCUCCUGUUCAGCCCUGCCGAGGUGGAAGCUUGGAGUGGCUCACGGUGGAUGCAUUGACGCUGCAGACGCCAGCAAGUGCUACAAACCAGAGCUGGCCUUUAACUCAGACUGAUGGAGAAGGUGUUAAUAAUGCAGAUUAGACUUAAAAGUGUUGAAGCCAUUGCACUGUGAACAGCAAAAAAAUUGAAGAACUCUUCUGGCAUUUAAAAACAAUUACUCAGUUCAGCAGAGAAGUCACUGACAAACGAGAUCACACUGACUGCUUUGUCGUUUUGGUUUUGUCUUACUCAUUAAUGCAAAUAAGAACAUUCACUAGCAUCUGUGUCGGGCCUACCCUCCCUGGUCAAAUACAGCUACAGUCUCCCUGCAGAAACGAGUUUUCCAGAAAUGAGCCGAUGUUUUCUGCGAGAAUCAAUUGGUCAUAUACAAUUUACAAAAAUGAGUACUGUAUACUAUAUUUGUAAACUGUACACUGCAGAUGCUUUAUUUCACUGAAAUUUAUAAUACACUUAUCCAUGUAUAUGCAUGCAUGCAUUUUUGUUCCUGAGAUCCAGCUGUGAAAUGUUUACCAGCACAUAAAUUACCAGCACAUGCUCUUUUUUGUUAACCUACUAGCAGUGUCUGGGGGCUGGUCCUCAGCCAUGACCGCCGGCCCUGGUCUGUCAUCAUCCUGAUAAUUUUCCAGAACUCCACCUGCAGCCGUCAUCCUGGGCGGCCCUGCUCCAUCUGUACCCUCUGCCCUGCCCUGGUCCUGGACCUGCUCCGCUCUGCAUUGCGCUCUGCGGGACCUGAGAGGUUUCUCAGCAGGAGCUGAAUAGUGUUGAAAAGGCUUCCAGCCCGCACCUCAGUGGGGCACUUUUCUUCAUGGGACAUGCGGGGUUGUCUGGGCUGGAGAACACAGAUUUGGGGGCACUCCGGAAGGUGGCAGAAGGUUGGCCCUACACGGGACCCAGUGGUCAUCUCUGCAAAUGCCGGGGCUGGGCUGUUCCUGCCUCAGAGGCCUCCCUCCUCCAGAGCAGGGGUGGAGAAAUCAGCCUGGAGAGCCUCACGGCGCAGGAGGGAUUUGCCGGGGCUGCCUCUGCAUAGAGCCCCCUGCAAACAGAGGAGCUGUUUUAUAGCACUGGAUUUAGCUUGCAGGGUCCUGGAACACCUAGAGACACCAGAGGGGGAGACCGCAGAUGAAGACCUCCUGGACGGCCGGGCAACCAGUGGCAGUCCCACGAGCCACGGGGCCGUGGCCAGCCUCCUUUCGGGACACAGUCCAGCCUGGAGGGAAGGAGGGGACAGGGGACCUUUCUGAUUCUUCUUUUUCCUUUUCCUUUGGAAUGAGAAAACAGCCUCUACGUUCUCCCAUUCACGUCUGUCAUCAGCUGAAGGAGCUCUUCCCCUUUUCCCCACUGACUCUGCACCCUCCACGGGGACAGCCUUGCUUUCGGGGCACAAUGAAAGAAACAUGACUGGAGACAUUACCAAGACCUGUCACUUGCUACCUUCUCUUUCUGAAGCCGUAAACAUGAGGAAAGACUCAUCGUUAGGUUAUUAUGAAUGAUGGACCAGCUUAUGUGUUUCAAUGAAAGCUAGGCUAUCACUGAGCUUGCUGGCUUAAAGCUGUGUGAGCCCACUGCUUAAUUUUUGGGACACAAAAGGUCUAGAAAUGUCGCCUGGCCUUUUCCAGUAGAGGUUGGCCCAAGAGCAUGAAUUUUCUGGCCAGCAUUUCGUUUCUUUUUCCUUCACGUAUGUUGCCAGCACUCAGGGCCUGUGGACCUGCCUUCUGUGCAGGGUGUCUUGUCUUUCGGGGCCGUGGCUGCUUCCGUAGGAGGCAUGGCAGGUGCCAGCCUGGGGCUGAGCUCUCCCCACGUGGAGCUCAGGGCCUCAGAGGCCAAAGGCACAUCCCUCAGAGGGCCUGGAAAUGGAAGGCCGGGCUGGGUUUACGGCACACCCAGGCCGGGCUCUAGUGGCUCAUGGUCACAGCCUGUCCACACAGCAUGGCGCUCCAGAGAAUGCUCAGAGGCUUAGGCUCAGACAGACAUGAAUUCACGUCUGAUGGGCGGAGCACCCGUGUGACCAUGGCAGGUUGCCUCCUUUUUAUCUGCAAAGCUGUGGCAAUGAUCCCCACCUCCAAGGACUCCAGCGAGGCACAUGUGAGACGCUGCAUGGGAAGAGCGUCCUGCAAACCCGGCCAGAUGGCAGCUGCACCGUCCCUCUGCCAGGUGUCCCUGGAGAUGCCUGCCUACCCAGCUCUGUUUCUGUUCACAUCUCAGUGUGACAAGCAGCCUGGAAGGGCCAUGCUCGAAAGGCUUGGGCCAGGAGCUCUUACCUGGUGAGCACAGACUGCGGCUUCCCAGACACCAACAGGGGAGGGGACAGAUGUUGCGCCAUGCUACGCCAUUGACUUUUCUGCAACUGAUACGAUGGGAAUAAUACUCCACUUCAGUUCACAGGGUGGGGGCAAUAGUGAGUGAGAGCUGGACAAGCCAGGGAAUAUUGAGAGACCAAAGACACCUGUUGUGGAUUUCCUGGGCCAUGAGAGCCGCCUCUUGGACGUGCAGGGUUGACGUAGUCAGCCACUCUUCUGAAACAGCGGCCUGGGGACCAGGCAGCCACGGUGAACCCUGGUACAUCACAGAGGGUGCUGACAUGGGCUGUACUGUGGGAGCUGCUGUGUAAUCAUUGCACACUGGGCAGUGGUGUUUGGCAUUCCCUGUGAUUACGUUCAGCCACCUAGACAGAACCCCAAAUCACGGUGGGUGAAACAAGAUGGAGCGCAUUUUCUUCCAUGCACAGGAAGCAUGGCAGCUGGCACUUACAGCCAGCGUGAAGCUCCCAGGGGCUCCAGAGCCAGGAGCUCUCUGCUCCUGGGCCUCACAUCCCUGCUCAUGGCUUCCAUGCUCCCUGCCAGCGUGGCUGCUGGAACUCCAGCCUUCUCAUCACAAUGCGUACAGGGAGGCUUCCAGAAGCUCUGGGUCAGUAUUCCGGCGUGCAUGUCCUCCACCCUAACGCACUCACCCACAUGCGCCGAGCAAAGUUGGAGCGGGUGGAGAAGGGCCUGGCGGUGCAGAGGCCCCAGGAUUUCUGGACAGGGCAGCUGUGGCUGCAGCAGGGAGGUGCAGUGCUGCGGGGAGGCGGUUGACAGCUGUCGCCUUUUGCCACUUCUGAGCCCAGCCACCAAAUUGGUCCACGUCUCUUAGAAAAUUCUGUGACAUGGCAGAUUCAUUGACACUCCUGGUCAUAACUGCUUCCCUUCUCCCACUAGACCACCUUCCCUCCCCAGCCCCCUUUUGGUAGCACAAAUACAGCUGCUGUGUGUAUUGGAUCCAGCAGGCGUGGAUCCAAUUAAACCUACACUAUUUGUUUCACUUUUCUUCAGAAAGAGCCUAUGAAAUAUGAGUUUCGGGGGCAAAGUUUUUAUCAUCAGAGCUGUUCCUUUCCAGCAGACCUUUCAGUUCUCAGCAGCAGCCCUUCUUUCUGGGGUAGGAACUGAGCUGGUCUGUGGGAUGCCCCGCCUCGUUCCAAAUGGGGUCCAUCCCUGAGACAAAGGCACAUGAUACAAAGCAAAGCCGCACAAACCUGCGGGAAUCAGAGUGAGGGAGAUGGAGGUGGAACAGCCACGCGGCCCGAGGAAGCAGCUACAGAAUGAAGUCUGUUAGUUCCCAUUCAGGCACCAGAGUGGGCCACACAUUUGCUGGUAGCUUCUAUCGACCAGUGCAAAAAGGCGACCGAGGUCUGUGAUGUCCCAGAGUGAACAUGACAGAGCGCAGGGGACACUCGGGCCUGAGCCCCCUGCCACCAAGGAAGAGGACCUUGAGGAAGGCAUGGGUGCCACCUGUCCACUGCACACACAGCCCUUCUAACGAACACGGACCCUCACGGGCCCCCGCGGGGCUCAGACACCGAUUCCAACACGGACCCUCACGGGCCCCGGCGGGGCUCAGACACCGAGGCUGACACACUGCCCUGUGCACACCUGCCUGGAGCCGGUGGCGGGACCCAGGGAGAGACAGCGUGUCCUCCAGCGUCUCCCCAGCUCCUCCGUGGUCAGUGGAGAGUCCAUGGGAACGUUUGAGGCUUUGAUCCUUGGCAAGAAUAUUUUUUUUUUGAGAUGGAGUCUCACUCUGUCGCCCAGGCUGGAGUGCAGAGUGGUGUGAUCUCGGCUCACUGCAAGCUCCGCCUCCCAGGUUCACGCCAUUCUCCUGCCUCAGCCUCCCGAGUAGCAGGGACUACAGGCGCCCGCCACCACGCCUGGCUAAUUUUUUGUAUUUUUAGUACAGACAGGGUUUCACUGUGUUAGCCAGGAUGGUCUCAAUCUCCUGACCUCGUGAUCCACCCUCCUCGGCCUCCCAAAGUGCUGGGAUUACAGGCGUGAGCCCCCGCGCCCGGCCGGCAAGAAUCCUGCGUGCGGAUGUUAAACCAGGGGCCAAAUGCAGCCAGGCUUGCACAGUGGGCUUGUCUUCAGCAAGAUGGGGGCUGCCUCAGAAUCACCAGGAACGUUCGAUAAAAAUGGAGACUUCCGGAACCUGCCCUAACCUACUGAACAGUAUCGUUGCUGGUGGGUGCCCUGCAGUCUGCAUUUGGCAAACUGGCAUAGCGAGUCCCAUGCCGUGUCGAGCCUGAGCCCCACGUUUCAUAAGGGAUUAGGGUCACUGGAGCUCACGAGGCCGCACCUGUUCCUGGCUGGGUGCGCUUGGGCACUUUGCCCGUCUACGCCUGGAACUUCUCUGGUGUAAACUGGAAUAAUAUCUCCUUUACAUGGCACAGAACUAAAGAUUCUUUGAGUUCCAGGUAAUAAAAACCAAGGCCAGACUAAAUCAGACAAAAUGACAUUUAAAACAUAAUAAAGACAGGAUUGCAGCUGACAGUGGAUCUAGAGAUCCACAGUUCACUGGGCCCCCACCCUGCCUGUCGCUCAGAAGUCUCCCCUCUGUGUGGCUUCACUCGCAGGCCGCUCCUCUGCACGGAGCAGCAGGGUGGCCGCCAUCAGCCUGGUCUCAUCUGCCCUCAGGGCUGAUGGUCCUGGACAAACAGCUGUCUCUCUGUUCAUCAAACUUGAGUUCAUAGCCUUCCAGAGGUGGCUGCAAAGCAGGCGGUGUGCUCACCUGGGCCGAUCACACCUCUGAGGGACCGAGCGCUCUGAGGACGGUGCCCCAGGUCACACCCGUGAGGGGCACACAUCCCCUGGGCUUCAGAGCAACGCAGCUGUGUCCUCUCCACAAGGUGCUGAGGCAGUGAUGCUGCCGGGCGGUUCCACGGCCUCUCUCCCCAGGGCUCUGAGUGUCAGGUGGGGGUCCAGGCUGAGGCUCAAGUCAGGUCUGCUCUGUGUGCCCCUCACUCUGCUGAGCUCCAGGCAUGUUUUUCCUGAAGCCGAUUCCCUGGAACACAUUGCAGGGCCUGCGGACAUCCACCAGCGUCCACGUGGUCAAAGCCCACCUUAGUGGGGUGGAGAAAAAUGUUCCUUCCAUGGCCAUCAGGAGCAGGGCUGACCAUCGCAGGGAGGGCUCACAUCUGCCCAGUCUCUGCCAGCGAGUCUCCUCUCAGAUCCCACGUGGGCACUCCCUCCCCACCCCUUCGUCUCUAAGAUUAAAUCCAGGUGCCUUGAGCCCCAGUCCCCAUGUUCCCCUCAAACCCCUGUUCCUCCCCACAGAGACACAUGGCUCCAGCUCCACACCCGAGCACCUGCUGUUUACGGUUUGUGCUGACCGGAUGCUGUUUCUCCUUCCAUCUCCACCUGCAAAUGUUCUGCUGACCCUCAGGCCGGUUUGAAGACCAGCACAGCCCAUGUGAGCAGGGCACAGGGCCCCAUCCUGAGUGGCUGGCCUGUCCGGGGGAGGAAGUUCCACCCCACACCCACCCCACCACCACAGGAUGUGCCCAGAAGGCGGAGGGACUGGCCACUGUGGGGGCUCCCAUGUCCAGGCCGGGCCUCCUCAGCAUAAAAUCAGCUGACAGCAGCCUCAACGCGCCACUGCCUGAGAGGACACCGCCUCUCCAAACCUGGGAAGAAGGCAGCCACGCCCUGGGGAGGGAACAGGUGGAGGUGGGUGCCAGGACUAGCCAGGACUUCCUCCCAAAUAUUUAGAAACUUGAUUGCAAUGAAAAGAUAGCAUCACUGAAUUAAAGACGUCAUUUAUUAUGGAGCUGAGAUUUGGUUUGCCCAGCAGCUUAAAACAAUGUCACUCACAGCCUUGUGGCACCUUGGGACGGGCAGGUGCCUACACAAUUAUUUACUUAAGAACAUACCUUCCUUUAAAAUAACCAAUGUUGUACUUAGAUAAAUGUAUUUACAUGGGAGACUUUCUGUCACAGAUUUGAUGUCUCGUGAUCAUUUCUCUUAGUAUACAUUAAAAGUUAAUUAUUGUCAGAAAAAGUUAUCUGAAACCUGGAACUAAGUCCCUAAAGUGGGCAGGGC
RNAcentral lists this long non-coding RNA (7660 nucleotides) under Homo sapiens (human). Its description in RNAcentral is "lncAB499.2". The record is from RNAcentral. Lineage: Eukaryota; Metazoa; Chordata; Mammalia; Primates; Hominidae.